CACGGGUGAGUAACACGUAUCCAACCUGCCGUCUACUCUUGGACAGCCUUCUGAAAGGAAGAUUAAUACAAGAUGGCAUCAUGAGUUCACAUGUUCACAUGAUUAAAGGUAUUCCGGUAGACGAUGGGGAUGCGUUCCAUUAGAUAGUAGGCGGGGUAACGGCCCACCUAGUCAACGAUGGAUAGGGGUUCUGAGAGGAAGGUCCCCCACAUUGGAACUGAGACACGGUCCAA
This 233-nucleotide ribosomal RNA is filed under the name uncultured bacterium. Its description in RNAcentral is "partial 16S ribosomal RNA". It matches the Rfam family "Bacterial small subunit ribosomal RNA", at positions 102 to 334 of the family's 1533-position model. The record is from RNAcentral.